AAAACAACAAACUUAAAAUAACAUUUAAAAGUAUCUAAAUCAUAAAUUAAACACUUAUAAAGUCUUUUAAAAUUCGUUUCAAAAUUUCAAAAAGUUCAUAAAUGUCCAAAGAUCUAAACUAGGGAGUGAGAUCUACAUAAUCAUCAUCAUCACUCUCGUCGUCGGUGUCAUCGGGAGCAGAAGUAGUAGGUUGACGAGCGAGGUUCAUCACUUGUUCUUUGAUUUGC
RNAcentral lists this long non-coding RNA (227 nucleotides) under Solanum tuberosum (potato). RNAcentral describes it as "long non-coding RNA (STUB_LNC007483)". Lineage: Eukaryota; Viridiplantae; Streptophyta; Magnoliopsida; Solanales; Solanaceae. The record is from RNAcentral.